This 981-nucleotide long non-coding RNA is filed under the name Monomorium pharaonis (pharaoh ant). Its description in RNAcentral is "uncharacterized LOC118646115, transcript variant X4". The record is from RNAcentral. Lineage: Eukaryota; Metazoa; Arthropoda; Insecta; Hymenoptera; Formicidae.
CUAAUUCGUCUAUCAUUUACAAUGAGAUCGUUUUCAAGAUUAAUUUGAUUGAUCCACAUAUUUUCCUCAUCUUCUACUAUAAUGGAUGUUCAACUUGAUGUAACUUGUUGGAAGUCAAAGGUGCAAAAUGCGUUAAUUCAGGAAAUCUUGCAAGGAUUUUAUGGUAAGGUAUUAAUCCUGGAUCCAUUAGCAGCAAACAGUUUAAAAGAUGAAGAAGAUUGAGAAAACUGAGCUAAUCUUUUAGGAAUCAAUGAAAUGUCAGCUCCGGUAUCAACAAGAAAAUUGAGUAAUGAAGUUUUAUCAGUAACAAUGAGGCGACUACAAGGUAAACCGUCACAAUCUGCCUCAUGACUCAACGGCAAAAUCAGUUUUCCGGAUUUGCAGUAAAAGCUUUAGACAUAGCACAAGAUCUCGAUCUGCUUCUAUAGCGUUUAACUUCUAAAGCGGAAAUUCUACGCUCCAAAUCAGCUAAACUAGAGGAACCAGAUUCAGGUGUAGAAGUUACAGCGGCAAUUUGUAAGCCCGAAUCUCUCUCCAAAAUCUUAUCAGCCAAUUCAGCAAGCUUGAUUAAAGGAGCUUCAUCAACAACAGCUAAAGUAGCUUGAACUCUAAGAGAAUCAGAAAAUCGAUUUAUAAGUACAUUUUUUAAAUAAAGAUAUUUAUCUCGCUCUGGAGGAUUUUCAACAAUCUCAGCAACAGCUACUAAAGCUUGUUCAUCAAGAUGUUCUUGAGGUUGUUCAGUCGAUGUCCCAGGAGAAGACACAGGAGAACGUUCAACAGGCAUCUCGAAGAAAGAUUUCAAAUUUCGUGCACGACAAUCGUCAGGAGAGCCAAAACGUAAACACGAUUCUUUGACAGGCUUGUCUUUUCAAUCACGUCGGGGUCACCAGUUAUGGGAAAGAUUUCCCUAUUCUAUCUUAUACUUAUGAAAUAAAUAGACUUUGUAAAGUUAUACGUGUUUACUAAUAUCAAGCUUACAAA